UACGUAGGUGGCAAGCGUUGUCCGGAUUUAUUGGGUUUAAAGGGCGCGUAGGCGGCCUUCUAAGUCAGACGUGAAAUCCCCCGGCUUAACCUGGGAACUGCGUCUGAUACCGGGAGGCUUGAGUAUGGGAGAGGGAUGUAGAAUUCCAGGUGUAGCGGUGAAAUGCGUAGAUAUCUGGAGGAAUACCGGUGGCGAAGGCGGCAUCCUGGACCAUAACUGACGCUGAGGCGCGAAAGCUAGGGGAGCAAACGGG
This 253-nucleotide ribosomal RNA is filed under the name uncultured bacterium. RNAcentral's name for it is "partial 16S ribosomal RNA". It matches the Rfam family "Bacterial small subunit ribosomal RNA", at positions 524 to 776 of the family's 1533-position model. The record is from RNAcentral.